Molecule: long non-coding RNA, 1575 nt
Filed under: Anthonomus grandis grandis
Lineage: Eukaryota; Metazoa; Arthropoda; Insecta; Coleoptera; Curculionidae
Description: uncharacterized LOC126740334
Source: RNAcentral
CAUGUCAAAAUUAUUGUAGAUGCACAUUCAGUACGGUGUUUUUAAAUGGUAAACAUUGCAAGGAUGAUUUUUAUUGCAAGUAAACACAUGAUCCCAAAAUUAAGUUGGAUUUCAAGUGCCAGGACUUCAGAUGCUGAAGAAGAACUUAAGGGACAUUGUACUUGCAAAUAAGGAAAAACGACGUUGAGGUUGUGACCAAUAUUGGAAACAGUUGCAACAGUACCAUAUAAGAUAUUUCAUUUUAUAAAAGUGACUGUUCUAUUUCUAGUAGCAAUAAGAAAUUGUUAGCUACUACUGAUUCAUGUGAUGGUUUAUCCAAAUUAAAUUUGACUUUUAACCAAGUAAGUAGUCUAGCAUUAUUGACUGAUAAUAAAUGCAGUGACCCAGAGUACAGUAUUGACAAAAGUUAUUGAGACUGCCUUUUCCACGCAAUAAUGGUUCCAGAAGUAAGUCCUUGUUGGAGGUUAUCCAUGGAGACGUCUGUGCAAGUAAAUUCUAAUGGAGGAGGCAGAUAAUUUUUGUUACUCGUUGAUAACUAGAGUAGGAUGUCAUUUGUCUAUUUUUUAAAAGCUAGUAUGGUCGCGAACCAAGUUGGUCGUAAAAUUGACCAAGAUGCUGAAUUUUUUGGCAACAAUUUUAAGCUUUUCUUUGAGUCAGAAGGCAUUAUUCACUAAACAAUCAAUGCUUAUACUCCAGAGCAAAACGGUCUUGCAGAGUCUUAACAGAUAUUUGAUAGAGAAGGCAAUGUACCUUACACUUGACGCUGAUUUAGGAACGAGGUUUUGGGCGGAGGCAAUAAAUACUGCUAGUAAUAGAUCCAUUAUUAGUGGGGCUCCACUUGAAAUGUGGAAUGGUAAGAAACCAGACUUAUCCAACAUCAGGUUGUUUGGAAGCAUCGCUAUGGUCCAUAUCUCGUGGAAAAGAAGGCUCAAGCUCAAUAAAAAGUGCAACAAGUGCAUUCUAAUUGGAUAUGCUGAGGCUAUAAAAGGUAACUGGAUAUAUAACUCGAGUAAAGAUGAUGUAACGACUAGAGAUGUUUAGAUUCAUGAAAAUAUUAAGUUACGAAAGUACUCAGCGGAAGAGUUCUCUGAGGAGACUGUACUUAGAGCGGGGAUAAUCUGGAUCAGAGGGACAAUAUUCGUUUAUUAGUCAGAUCUAGAAUUUAGAUCCAGAAGGCAGUUCUAUAAGUAGAAAUCCAGUGUAUACUCCAGAAGUAUCUAAGAUUCUAUCCAGACACGAAGGCAAUCAGUCGAGAGAGGCAAUUCAAGAGCAGAUUAAAUGUUAAUGGAGGACGUUAGAUGUUAGCUGAGCUAAGUGGGACAGUCUUGAAAACAUGGUACUUACGUUAAAUCCAUUUGUGAUUUGAAGCAAGCAUCACGAGUGUGGUACCAAAAGGUUGAGUGUAUUUUGAUUAAAUUAGGUUACAGUAAGUAAAUGUAAAUUUGAACCUUGUAUAUUUAUCAAGUCAAGUAGUGGUAGCUUAAUCACUGUUAAAGAACUUUGCGUGGAUAACUUUAUAAUUUUUUAAAAUAUUAAAGUAGAAUCUCACAAAAUAAAAUUGGCUUCAAGAUUCAA